AUUUUGCGUGAGGGAUAGUAGCGACAUCCUUUUUUGCAUAUGAAUGAUUUGUUAGUUGAAAUCGGAGUGACAAGCAAAAAAGAUAUAGCGAAUAGCCCGACCCGUG
This 106-nucleotide small RNA is filed under the name Mesonia oceanica. RNAcentral describes it as "Flavo-1". It matches the Rfam family "Flavo-1 RNA". Lineage: Bacteria; Pseudomonadati; Bacteroidota; Flavobacteriia; Flavobacteriales; Flavobacteriaceae. The record is from RNAcentral.